Molecule: ribosomal RNA, 1393 nt
Filed under: uncultured bacterium
Lineage: Bacteria
Description: bacterial SSU rRNA
Rfam family: Bacterial small subunit ribosomal RNA
Source: RNAcentral
UAGAGUUUGAUCCUGGCUCAGGAUGACCUCUAGCUACAGGCUUAACACAUGCAAGUCGAGGGGCAGCAUGAGGUUUGCUUGCAAACCUUGAUGGCGACCGGCGCACGGGUGAGUAACGCGUAUCCAACCUGCCCAUCACUCCGGCAUAGCCCAGUGAAAACUGGAUUAACUCCGGAUGGCAUCACUUGAAGGCAUCUGACGGUGAUUAAAUGUGAAGGUGAUGGAUGGGGAUGCGUCUGAUUAGCUUGUUGGCGGGGUAACGGCCCACCAAGGCGACGAUCAGUAGGGGUUCUGAGAGGAAGGUCCCCCACAUUGGAACUGAGACACGGUCCAAACUCCUACGGGAGGCAGCAGUGAGGAAUAUUGGUCAAUGGACGAGAGUCUGAACCAGCCAAGUAGCGUGCAGGAAGACGGCCCUAUGGGUUGUAAACUGCUUUUAUGCGGGAAUAAAGUCAUCUACGUGUAGAUGUUUGCAUGUACCGCAAGAAUAAGGACCGGCUAAUUCCGUGCCAGCAGCCGCGGUAAUACGGAAGGUCCGGGCGUUAUCCGGAUUUAUUGGGUUUAAAGGGAGCGUAGGCUGUAUUUUAAGCGUGUUGUGAAAUGUAGGCGCUCAACGUCUGCACUGCAGCGCGAACUGGAGUACUUGAGUGCGCAGGAAGUUGGCGGAAUUCGUCGUGUAGCGGUGAAAUGCUUAGAUAUGACGAAGAACUCCGAUUGCGAAGGCAGCUGACUGUAGCGUUACUGACGCUGAAGCUCGAAAGUGCGGGUAUCGAACAGGAUUAGAUACCCUGGUAGUCCGCACGGUAAACGAUGGAUGCUCGCUGUGUGCCUUAUGGUACGUGGCCAAGGGAAACCAUUAAGCAUCCCACCUGGGGAGUACGCCGGCAACGGUGAAACUCAAAGGAAUUGACGGGGGCCCGCACAAGCGGAGGAACAUGUGGUUUAAUUCGAAGCAACGCGAAGAACCUUACCAGGACUUGACAUCCCUUGCAUAAGCGUAAAAGUGUAAACCCUUCGGGGCAAGGAGACAGGUGGUGCAUGGUUGUCGUCAGCUCGUGUCGUGAGAUGUUGGGUUAAGUCCCGCAACGAGCGCAACCCUUACUGUCAGUUACCAUCAUUAAGUUGGGGACUCUGGCAGGACUGCCGGUGACAAAUCGGAGGAAGGUGGGGAUGACGUCAAAUCAUCAUGCCCCUUAUGUUCUGGGCUACACACGUACUACAAUGGCUGUAAACAAAGGGAAGCGAAGCCGCGAGGUGGAGCAAAUCCCCAAACACAGUCUCAGUUCAGAUUGUAGGCUGAAACUCGCCUAUAUGAAGUUGGAAUUGCUAGUAAUCGCAGAUCAGCAUGCUGCGGUGAAUACGUUCCCGGGCCUUGCACACAACGCCCGUCAAG